GGGCAUAUAGCUCAAUGGUAGAGUGCUUUCCUGGCAUGUGUGAGGGUCUGGGUUUGAUCCCCAGUAUUAUCA
This 72-nucleotide transfer RNA is filed under the name Urocitellus parryii (Arctic ground squirrel). RNAcentral describes it as "Spermophilus parryii (Arctic ground squirrel) tRNA". It matches the Rfam family "tRNA". From Rfam's summary of the family: Transfer RNA (tRNA) molecules are approximately 80 nucleotides in length. Their secondary structure includes four short double-helical elements and three loops (D, anti-codon, and T loops). RNAcentral also lists the same sequence under 1 other name. Lineage: Eukaryota; Metazoa; Chordata; Mammalia; Rodentia; Sciuridae. The record is from Rfam by way of RNAcentral.